AUGAGGUGGACUAUGCUUGUGAAAGCAUUUUAUGUCAUGUGGGACGGUUAUCCCACAAAUGAACUUGGUCUACGCAAAGGAUUUGGAUAUGUUGAGUUUGACAACAUUGAUGUUGUUCCCAAGGCACUGUUGCUUAACGAGUCCGAGCAAACAAUCUGUAUAAAUGGCCUUAGUCUCCCUCCGUUAGUUAUAUACUUAAAAUUUGGUUGCACUUCAGGUGUGUACUAA
Molecule: non-coding RNA, 228 nt
Organism: Vicia faba (fava bean)
Lineage: Eukaryota; Viridiplantae; Streptophyta; Magnoliopsida; Fabales; Fabaceae
Source: the annotation of a GenBank genome assembly